UAACCAGUGAUGUGAUGAUUCUG
RNAcentral lists this non-coding RNA (23 nucleotides) under Cricetulus griseus (Chinese hamster). Lineage: Eukaryota; Metazoa; Chordata; Mammalia; Rodentia; Cricetidae. The record is from RNAcentral.